Molecule: small RNA, 28 nt
Filed under: Bombyx mori (domestic silkworm)
Lineage: Eukaryota; Metazoa; Arthropoda; Insecta; Lepidoptera; Bombycidae
Description: ovarian small RNA-24602
Source: RNAcentral
UCAACCAACACUGCUUGACGCGCAGAUC